ACACGACUACAUUAGAUACCCCUGUAGUCCUAGGCGUAAAUGAUGCGAGUUAAGUGUGGGGCAUCUACGAGAUGGCCCUGUGCUGUAGGGUAGCCGUUAAACUCGCUGCCGUGGGGAGUACGGUCGCAAGGCUGAAACCUUAAAGGAAUUGGCGGGGAGCACCACAAGAGGUGGAGGCUGCGGUUCAAUUGGACUCAACGCCGGAAAACUCAUCGGGAGCGACAGCAGUAUGAUUGCCAGGUUGAUGACCUUGCUUGACAAGCUG
Molecule: ribosomal RNA, 265 nt
Filed under: uncultured archaeon
Lineage: Archaea
Description: partial 16S ribosomal RNA
Rfam family: Archaeal small subunit ribosomal RNA
Source: RNAcentral